Molecule: ribosomal RNA, 1395 nt
Filed under: metagenome
Description: bacterial LSU rRNA
Rfam family: Bacterial large subunit ribosomal RNA
Source: RNAcentral
CUAUGCUGAGAACUGAGACGAACCUGUACUUGUACGGGGGAGUGAUAGAUGCCAUGCUUCCAAGAAAAGCUCCUAAGCUUCAGUCAGUAAGGGAUCGUACCCGAAACCGACACAGGUGGUCAGGUCGAGAAGACCAAGGCGCUUGAGAGAACUCUGGUGAAGGAACUAGGCAAAAUAGUACCGUAACUUCGGGAGAAGGUACGCUGUUGAGGGUUAAGGAUUUACUCCGUAAGCCUUCGGCAGCCUCAGAAACUAGGCCGCUGCAACUGUUUAUUAAAAACAUAGCACUCUGCAAACACGAAAGUGGACGUAUAGGGUGUGAUGCCUGCCCGGUGCUGGAAGGUUAAUUGAUGGGGUUAGCUAACGCGAAGCUCUUGAUCGAAGCCCCAGUAAACGGCGGCCGUAACGAUAACGGUCCUAAGGUAGCGAAAUUCCUUGUCGGGUAAGUUCCGACCUGCACGAAUGGCAUAAUGAUGGCGGCGCUGUCUCCACCAGAGACUCAGUGAAAUCGAAAUCGCGGUGAAGAUGCCGUGUACCCGCGGCUAGACGGAAAGACCCCGUGAACCUUUACUGCAGCUUUGCACUGAACUUUGAUCUUACUUGUGUAGGAUAGGUGGGAGGCUUUGAAGCUCGGACGCUAGUUCGAGUGGAGCCAUCCUUGAAAUACCACCCUGGUAAUAUUGAGGUUCUAACCCAGGUCCGUUAUCCGGAUCGGGGACAGUGUAUGGUGGGUAGUUUGACUGGGGCGGUCUCCUCCUAAAGAGUAACGGAGGAGUACGAAGGUGCGCUCAGCGUGGUCGGAAAUCACGCGUAGAGUAUAAAGGCAAAAGCGCGCUUAACUGCGAGACCGACAAGUCGAGCAGGUACGAAAGUAGGUCUUAGUGAUCCGGUGGUUCUGUAUGGAAGGGCCAUCGCUCAACGGAUAAAAGGUACUCUGGGGAUAACAGGCUGAUACCGCCCAAGAGUUCAUAUCGACGGCGGUGUUUGGCACCUCGAUGUCGGCUCAUCUCAUCCUGGGGCUGAAGCAGGUCCCAAGGGUAUGGCUGUUCGCCAUUUAAAGAGGUACGCGAGCUGGGUUUAGAACGUCGUGAGACAGUUCGGUCCCUAUCUACCGUGGGCGUUGGAGACUUGAGAGGAUCUGCUUCUAGUACGAGAGGACCGAAGUGGACGAACCUCUGGUGUUCCGGUUGUCACGCCAGUGGCACUGCCGGGUAGCUAUGUUCGGAAGGGAUAACCGCUGAAAGCAUCUAAGCGGGAAGCCUACCUCAAGAUAAGGUCUCCCUGAGGGUUUAACCCUCCUAAAGAGCCGUUAGAGACCAUGACGUUGAUAGGUUCGGUGUGGAAGUGCAGCGAUGCAUGAAGCUAACGAAUACUAAUUGCCCGUGAGGCUUGACU